Molecule: RNA transcript, 3253 nt
Organism: Drosophila albomicans
Lineage: Eukaryota; Metazoa; Arthropoda; Insecta; Diptera; Drosophilidae
Gene: Rm62
Gene name: ATP-dependent RNA helicase p62
Exons: 6
Source: RefSeq, a predicted model, not a curated record
GUGUAACCAGAUUUUAUGGCAUUAAAUAGUAUAUAUUUCGAAUUGAACCUGAAGUCUCGCAGUACUGGUUCAUUUCCACUUUGGACGAGAACAACCAGCAGCAGCAGUUUUGCUUUGUACUGCGGAGAACAACCACAACAGUUCCAAGGGAGCCGGCUUAAGAACAAGGAGUCAGCAACAUCUAGAAUAUUACUUAGUUGCUCUUCACAGCAGUUACAGACACAGCGUGCGUUUCAUUUGUCGUCGACUCGACUCGAAACGUCUAAAGCAGUCAGCAACAACGAGCCAUUCCCAGCAGACAGGCAGACUACUGUGUCCAGAAGAAGCACGAGGAAAUCGCUUUUUAUUGACCCAGAAGACAAUUCAGAGGAAAUCAAAAUUGAAGGAAUAAUGGCACCUCACGACCGCGACUUUGGUUCCGGCUCACGUGGCGGACGCGACCGCGAUGACGAUCGUCGUGGUGGCGGCGGAGGAGGCGGUGGCGGUGGAGGUCGUUUUGGCGGCGGUGGCGGUGACUACCACGGUGUUCGCAAUGGUCGCAUUGAAAAACGUCGCGAUGAUCGCGGCGGUGGCGGUCGUUUUGGCGGUGGUGGCGGCGGCGGCGGUGGCUUCGGUGGUGAUCGUCGCGGUGGCGGCAACAGCCAAGAUUUGCCUAUGCGCCCCGUGGACUUCUCCAAUUUGACACCGUUCAAGAAGAACUUCUAUCAGGAGCAUCCCACGGUCGCCAACCGUUCGCCGUACGAAGUGCAACGCUAUCGCGAUGAACACGAGAUCACAGUGCGCGGCCAGGCGGCCAAUCCCAUUCAGGACUUCUCGGAGGCUUAUCUGCCCGACUAUGUGGUAAAGGAGAUUCGUCGACAGGGCUACAAGUCGCCAACACCCAUCCAGGCACAGGGCUGGCCAAUUGCCAUGAGUGGUGCCAAUUUUGUGGGCAUUGCCAAGACUGGUUCAGGCAAGACACUGGGCUACAUUCUGCCCGCGAUUGUGCACAUCAACAACCAGCAGCCGCUGCAGCGUGGAGAUGGACCCAUCGCAUUGGUGCUGGCGCCGACUCGCGAGCUGGCCCAACAGAUCCAGCAGGUGGCCACUGAGUUCGGUUCGUCGUCGUAUGUGCGCAACACUUGCGUCUUUGGCGGCGCUCCGAAGGGAGGUCAAAUGCGUGAUCUGCAGCGUGGCUGUGAGAUUGUGAUUGCCACACCCGGUCGUCUCAUUGAUUUCCUCUCGGCGGGCUCCACGAAUCUGAAGCGUUGCACCUACCUGGUGUUGGAUGAGGCCGAUCGCAUGUUGGACAUGGGUUUCGAGCCCCAGAUUCGCAAGAUUGUGUCACAGAUUCGUCCCGAUCGUCAGACGCUCAUGUGGAGUGCCACCUGGCCCAAGGAGGUAAAACAACUGGCCGAGGAUUUCCUGGGCAACUAUAUUCAGAUCAACAUUGGCUCGCUGGAGCUUUCGGCCAAUCACAACAUUCGCCAAGUGGUCGAUGUGUGCGAUGAAUUCAGCAAGGAAGACAAAUUGAAGACACUGCUUUCGGACAUUUAUGACACCAGCGAGAAUCCCGGCAAAAUCAUCAUAUUCGUUGAGACAAAACGUCGCGUGGACAACUUGGUGCGUUUCAUUCGCAGCUUCGGUGUUCGCUGUGGCGCCAUUCACGGCGACAAAUCACAGUCAGAGCGUGACUUUGUUUUACGCGAGUUCCGCUCGGGCAAGUCCAACAUUCUCGUGGCCACCGAUGUGGCUGCUCGUGGUUUGGAGGCCGUUUAUUGUAGUAUGAUGGGGAGGAUGAUAAAAGACAAUCGACAAGUUCCAAUAAUACCUGUACUCGUAACUUGAGCGACUUUUGCUUCUAAAAGUAAACUGACUAAAUGAAUGAAUGAUAAAUGUGUUGAAGUUUAUCAAGAGCAAAAGGUAUAUACAUAUACAGUAUACAGUUGACAUGAUCGAGUCGUGUUCGCUUGGCUGCCGCACGGACGCGCGAUCAACGUAAACGAAAUUCGCAUACGAGACGAGAUUAACAAAUCCCCAACAUCAUGCAUCAUACGUGGCCUCUGCACUUCUAAUUGAGAAAGAGAGCAUUCAAUAUUGUGUUGUACAGUAAAUCGAAACCAAACCGAAAAACCAACCAACCAACCAACCAACCAAAUCAACCUGCAAACAAACAAGCAAACGGUCAAAGUCACGUUUUGUCACAAGACGGCAUCAAAGCCAAAAAGUUGAAGGCGGCGCUACAAAGCAGGCAAAAAACCAUCUCUCUAACUUGGGAGGCUGACAUCGUCGGCCGGCCGGCCGGUUGCUAAGCACACAACAACAAACUUCAGCCAGGCAGCAACAGCAACAAAAAGCACACAAAAACCAAUUCAGCGGGCGGUUCAAUGUAAUCCUUGCCCAGAGCGCGUUAACCCGAGGAAGCACAAUGCGCGGCGCACCACCCACAACAUCUGUCCACACACAUGCACACGAAACACAACCACACACACGCCCACACAUGCUAUGCCACAACCACACGCCAAGCACGCUGAGAAGAGUUGCAUGUGGAGCAGAGGACGCUUUCGAUCAAGAGCUGUGUGUGGGUUCAAGAAGCAGAUGCUACUGGUCAUCAUGGUUCGUGUUAGUGGUCGUCGUCGUAACCGUAUCCAUAUCAUCGUCGGCGUCGUCGUCGCCGCCGUCGCUGCUGCUGCUGCUGAUGCUGAGUGCCUAGCUACCAAUUGGGCCGACACGCCCAUUGCCCGCCCGUCUGCCUGCGCCGCCAUCGCCCGUCGUAAUUGUCGGUGGCAACUGAUCCUGGACACACGCCGCUUGCUUAAAAAGUUCUCUGGUCGACAAAUGAAUCGCGCCUCCACCCUUUCUGAGCGGAGGAGGAUGCGGUUAUAUCGGUUGGCCUGGGCCCCCUCAGAUCUAAAUGAGUCGAGUCGAGUUCAGAUGAGGCAGGCGCACGCGGCUCAAUGCAACAAACUCUCGCCGCGCUCGCUUCGCCAUGCGACCAUUUGGGGAGAGUUUGGAUCACGAGCUGUGCGGCGUCACAUAACUUUGAGAUUUUGAUUGAGAGAAAUUGAGUGAAACAAUUUGUAGCACCAAGAAGACGUCGAUGGCAUCAAGUAUGUUAUCAACUUUGACUACCCACAAAACAGCGAGGACUAUAUCCAUCGCAUUGGGCGCACAGGACGUUCAAAUACCAAAGGCACAUCCUUCGCCUUCUUCACGAAAAACAAUGCCAAGCAGGCCAAGGCUCUGGUUGAUGUGCUGAGAGAGGCUAACCAAG